Molecule: long non-coding RNA, 669 nt
Organism: Oncorhynchus tshawytscha (Chinook salmon)
Lineage: Eukaryota; Metazoa; Chordata; Actinopteri; Salmoniformes; Salmonidae
Exons: 2
Source: RefSeq, a predicted model, not a curated record
CAAGUAGUAUUUUACUGGGUGACUUUUACUUGUCAUUUUCUAAGGUAUCUUUACUUUUACUCAAGUACUACAAUUGAGUACUUUUUCCACCACUGUAUUUAACUAUUGAAGGUGUAAUGUUGGGUAAUAAUUUACUUGAAUUGUACAUCAUAACAGAGACAUGACAUUGUCAUGAACAUGUCAUCUGAUGUUGAAUGUCAAUUUUGUCUGCAGGUUUGUGCCAUACAUCGGAAUCGUUACCAUUCUGAUGAAUGACUAUCCCAAAUUUAAGUACGCUGUUCUCUUCCUGCUGGGUCUGUUUGUCCUGGUCCAUCGGGAGUGAGGAAGAGAAUACCUAACUAUCUACCACGGAGGAAGAAUUGUAAAUCCCCACCCCACCAUGCCUUUCAAGACAGAAUUAUGUUGAUUAUGUCAAAUUAAGUUGCUUUUUCUCUACCAUGUGUUUUGAAUUGUGUCUAGAAAUGUGGAUAGUGUUUACAUUAUAUAAAAACAAGCAUUCAUUAUUUUUGUGAGGGAAAUUAGAUAUAAGUUAAGUAGAACAUGAAUCCAACAUUUUAGAUGGUUAAUUGUGUAUUUUGUUUUCACAUUUAAUUAGGUUUUGCUUUGCUUGAUAUAUUGAAUGACAAGUGAUAUGUUUGUGACAUUAAAUAUGACAUCUGUUACCCUCUA